Molecule: non-coding RNA, 28 nt
Filed under: Homo sapiens (human)
Lineage: Eukaryota; Metazoa; Chordata; Mammalia; Primates; Hominidae
Source: RNAcentral
UUCAAGGUCCGUUCAUGUUGCAGCAUGU